GGGGGCGACCUGGUUUCGACGUGGUCGGUUCUCCGGCAGAGCUGCAAGCCGAGGUCCCCGGUCGGCCUCGUAAAACAACCGGGACACAAAGCAAGUGCGAAG
Molecule: transfer-messenger RNA, 102 nt
Filed under: Actinomycetes bacterium
Lineage: Bacteria; Bacillati; Actinomycetota; Actinomycetes
Description: Actinobacteria bacterium partial transfer-messenger RNA
Rfam family: transfer-messenger RNA
About the family: Bacterial tmRNA, also known as 10Sa RNA or SsrA, is named for its dual tRNA and mRNA-like properties. Its role is to liberate the mRNA from a stalled ribosome.
Source: RNAcentral